RNAcentral lists this long non-coding RNA (742 nucleotides) under Triticum aestivum (bread wheat). RNAcentral describes it as "long non-coding RNA (TAES_LNC003633)". The record is from RNAcentral. Lineage: Eukaryota; Viridiplantae; Streptophyta; Magnoliopsida; Poales; Poaceae.
UUCACAAACAAGUCAAAUACUUGCCCAUCAAUAUAAAAAAAUUAUUCAAGGAACAUUUCAUAACUCAUGGAUACAACAUUAUAUAAUCUUGUCUCUAGAAUUGUCUUUAGGACAUAUCUCUAAUUGGUAGGAUAUUUGCACCCUCCAAUGUGAGGCAUGACUCAGCAUGACGCUUUGCUAGUAUAUAUAACGUAGAAUCUUGAAAAGAAUGUAACAAAGUAAAAAGAAAUGAUAAUGAGUAAAUAUCAUGCUAAAUCAUGUAAUGGCUCUCUAAAGUUCCUUGUUCUUUGAAACGUAGUCAAAACCGGUCUCAUCUUUAGUUGAUUGACUUGCUUCGGUUUCCUUCUCUUCGUAGCUAGAAUCGACGUCACCUUUAGUUGACUUAUUUGUUUUCGGCUUCCAUCAUUUGCCAACACCAGCACCAAUACCUUUAUGUGCACCGACACCAAGACCGGCAUUGGCACCUACAUUUGCUCCAAUGCCUACAUUUGCUCCAAGGCCAACACCAGCACUAGCACCACCGUUUGCACCGGCACCGCCACCAAGACCAGCAUUGGCACCUACGUUUGCUCCAAUACCUACAUUUGCUCCAAGGCCAGCACCAACACCAGCACCAAUACCUUUAUGUGCACCGGCACCGGCACCAAGACCGGCAUUGGCACCUACAUUUGCUCCAAUGCCAGCUCCAAUGUUAGCGCCUCCAUUCGCACCAGCACCAGCACCACCACCAGCACCAGCANNN